This 480-nucleotide ribosomal RNA is filed under the name uncultured bacterium. RNAcentral describes it as "partial 16S ribosomal RNA". It matches the Rfam family "Bacterial small subunit ribosomal RNA", at positions 28 to 507 of the family's 1533-position model. The record is from RNAcentral.
GAUGAACGCUAGCGGCAGGCCUAACACAUGCAAGUCGAGGGGGAAGUUACUUUCGGGUGACUGAGACCGGCGUACGGGUGCGUAACGCGUAUACAAUCUGCCUUUCACUGGGGGAUAGCCCGAAUAAAUUUGGAUUAAUACCCCAUAGAAUAUAGGGACGGCAUCGUUUUUAUGUUAAGGCUUAGGUGGUGAAAGAUGAGUAUGUGUUCUAUUAGCUAGUUGGUGAGGUAACGGCUCCCCAAGGAGAUGUUAGAUAGGGGUUCGGAGAGGGAUGUCCCCCACAGUGGUACUGGGAUACGGACCAGACUCAUACGGCAGGGAGCAGUGAGGGAUGCAGGAGAAUGGUCGGAAGACUGAUCCAGCCAUGCCGCGUGCAGGAUGGAGGUCUUAUGGAUUGUAAACUGCGUUUGUAAGGGAAGAAUAAGGGCUACGCGUAGGUUGAUGACGGUAACUGACGAAGAAGCAUCGGCUAACUACGUG